UGAUAUAUUUUUCUUUUCAUUCAGUAGCUAGGAACUAAAAUACACAGGUCACAGGUUCGAGCCCAUGUUUUCACAAGCCAGAGGCCUUUGUAUUCACAUCAAAUAAUUUGUCAAGGUCAAAUUUCAUCACUAAUAUUUUCUUCUGCCAACAAAAUUUUUUUCCCUGUUGUGGCUAACUUUGUAACUUACUUUUUAAAGUAAACUAGUUUCAUAGAAUUUGCAACUUAAUAGAACUGAGAGAGAUGAGCCAACAUUCAUUAUAUAAAAGGAAAUUCUUGAAUUUGGUAUAUUGUGGGCUGUAAUUUUUCGAUGUAGAAGACUGGUGCAAGAUGAAUCCUUGUAAGUGUAAAUAUAUUGAUAAGGACUUCCCUGGUGGUGCAGAGGUUAAGAAUCCACCUGCCAAUGCAGGGGUCACAGGUUUGAGCCCUGGUCUGGGAAGAUCCCACAUGCCGCGGAGCAACUGAGCCUGUGUGCCACAACUACUGAGCCUACGCUCUAGAGCCCAUGAGCCACAACUACUGAGCCCGUGUGCCGCAACUACUGAAGCCCACGUGCCUAGAGCCCAUGCUCCGCAACAAGAGAAGCCACUGCAAUGAGAAGCCCACGCACCGCAACGAAGAGUAGCCCCCGCUCGCCACAACUAGAGAAAGCCCACGCACAGGAGGGAAGACCCAACACAGCCAAAAAUAAAAAUAAAUAAAUAAAAUAAAUUUAUUAAAAAAAAAAA
This is a long non-coding RNA of Orcinus orca (killer whale), 727 nucleotides long. RefSeq lists it as uncharacterized. The record is from RefSeq and is a predicted model, not a curated record. Lineage: Eukaryota; Metazoa; Chordata; Mammalia; Artiodactyla; Delphinidae. The transcript is spliced from 2 exons.